CUCCAUGGAACAUUCAACGCUGUCGGUGAGUUUGGGAUUAAAACAGAAAAAAACCACCGACCGUUGACUGUACCUUGGGA
Non-coding RNA from Cricetulus griseus (Chinese hamster), 80 nucleotides. NCBI's taxonomy places the organism in Eukaryota, Metazoa, Chordata, Mammalia, Rodentia, Cricetidae. The record is from Rfam.